AGGUGCGGCGUCUGCGCAGAAGGUGCUGGGCCAGGUCCUAGGUGGAUCCCUGCUGGUCCGCUAUGUGGGGUGCUGCGGGGUUCUUCUGGCGGGGCCUCCAGGAACUGCCACCAGCGCCUUUAGCCUCAGUGCUCAGCCAACUGCUGAGGGUCUCGCAGCCCCACUCUCUCCUCUUCUGUGCCGAGGACCCCGUGACGGCAGACAUCCGAGGCUCCCCUCCCCGCCCCAAGUGUUUUCAGUUGGAACAUAUCUCGUCUCGCAGAGCUUUAAAUUAAGUCUCUCCCAGAUGAAGCGCCCUCGUCUAAUCUUCGUGGACUUGUGCUACUGCUGUGUCUACACCAGAUGUACCGUCCUCUUUCCCUUCAGCCUUGUCUUGGAAUCUGCUUAUCUUCUCACCUGAAAGUGUCUGA
Molecule: long non-coding RNA, 410 nt
Organism: Onychomys torridus (southern grasshopper mouse)
Lineage: Eukaryota; Metazoa; Chordata; Mammalia; Rodentia; Cricetidae
Exons: 3
Source: RefSeq, a predicted model, not a curated record